ACUCUCUGCUCUCACUCCUGAAUUUCUCUGCCGGCGCGGGCAGAAGCAGCGGCUGCAAAAAGGAACGCAGCUCGCAAGGGUGGCAACAUUUAGAUACCCACUACUUGCCGUCUUAGGGGCAUAGAUCGUUUGAAGUCCUGGACUUUUACGUUACCUAAACUUAAAUUGUAGGCUAUGGGUGCGUUACUUUAAAUAUUUAAUAAUAGGAUUUUACGUUUAUUUAAAUAUUAUUAUUAUUAUUAAAAGUGAUCGUUUAUUGAAGUUGUUAGCAAUCUUUAAAUUUAUUAGAAAGUUACCUAAAUUCACAAGAAUCGACAUACCCUUACUGUCAAAAAAACAAAGGGUAGCACAAGGCAGCAGCAGCUACAAGGCGACAGCGACAAGCUCGAUCUUUGUUCUCUCUCUGCGCCGAAUCGCUUGAUACUCUCCCAGAAAGGACCAAAGGUUUCCUUAAUACGAACAAGGGUUCUGGAAUGUCGUAGAACAGAGGGAUGUUAUGUCAUACAAGAAAGUGAUUGUCUAAAUAAGGAUGCAGCCAUUGAUUUGAAGAAUUUCAAAAGCCUCACUUAAUGGAUUUUAUAUAUAUGGAAAUUUAUAUAUUUUUUUAGUUUAUGAGAUACAUUUUGAUAUGUAUACGAUGGUUCUGCGUAGAGGAUCUUCUUUAUUUGAUGUGAUGCAUGUAUAUUUAAGAGAGCUAAAUGAUUGCUUAUCCUCAACAUCACCCUUAGCUAACACAACUUCAAAUUUGAAAAGUGUUUUCUAUCCUUCAGAAUUGACUAGAAGAUGCACUAACUUAUAACGUUUAAACUAAGACAUAACGCCCGAAAAAUGUUGUCCAUCGAGUGAGGCCUUCUGCCAGCUAAUGAUCGCCCAGAGCGGGCUGGUAAAAGUUGCGAACCUUGGGGCCCGGGGACAACUCCAUUAGGGCGGCCCACAUUCGGGGGCCAGUUGGUUUUGGUUUUGGUUUUCGUUUUGGUAGGUGAGCAGGUGCAUCGGCGGCAAGCCCUCGAUCGACCGAGAGUCGCAAGGAAAGUUGCGGCGCGUGGCUAGAGAUCGAUGAAGCAGCCAGAAGACCCGCGCUGCCCGCAUAUCGCAUCAGGACAAUCGCCGAGGCACGAGGCAUGUCCGGACACAUCUGGAGUGGCACAGAGUCUCAUAGUCACACCUUGAGCAGCGCUGAUCGCUUGGCUAUUAAAAAGUUACAUUAAAAUGUAUUGCAUUCCACUCAAGUGGGUCCUUUUUAGGAUCCUUUCUUCAGGCGGUCCUUACAGUUAAGGAUAUAUUGAUAAAACUUUUUGGCAGCACUGCAUAAGAGUUGGAGCCGCAAUUUAGCAUAAAUGAAAACUGAACUGAGAUCGCCGAUGGCCAGGGCAUCAUUAAACACAUUAACAGACAACAGACGAUGGCGAUGGCGAUGGCAGGUGAUGCCAAACAGAGACAGGUUGGCAAACUGACUGAGUGGCUAAAUGACUGACCAUAUGACUGACUGACUGGCUGACUGAGUGACUGACUGACGUACUGAAUGGCUGACCAACUGAAGGAGCGACUAAGAGAGCGACUGAACGAUCCCAAUGGCAACUGUACACAACACAAACGGGCUCGAGUCGUUGGGGACUUUUAAUGGGCUUAACCCGUGCCUCGAGGUCUCCUCACUCCGCCGACUCCACCGCACUCCUUUGUUAAUUACAAAGGAUGCGCCACAGGACAACAUCUGCCGAAUGCCAAUUGAUUCCCCAGCCCCUGGCUUCUUAACCCUUUGUGUUAGCAAAUGAGCCGGAUAAGUAUAGAGAUGCACUAGAUUUUUCACAUAAAUAAAACAUAACAUUUGGGCAUAAAUACAGCUGUUUUAUAUACUUUACUUUUAUAAGUACUUUAAAACAUACUCGUGUUUAUUAAUAUCCCAUCAUAGGCUUCACAAGUAUUGUAUCUUAAGUAACCAAGAGGUCAAAGUUUAUUUGCAGAGGAACCCCUAUCCUGUGAUUAGUGCUUAGUGGGUUAAGCCUUGUUCGGCGCAGCUGUACCACAGUUUCCAGAUCCUUCUGAUCCUUGCGGCUUACGCACUCGCCUGCUUCCUCUUCUUCCCCUCGGUCCCUUUCCACUGCUGCUCCUGUUUUUGCCUGAAUUUUCCACUUCUAUUGUCAGGACGAAGGUAGCGCAGAACAUUGCCAUCGAAGGCCAACUAUCCAGCGGCGAAACUAGUUUGCCACCUUUUGCGUCUUUGAGAACCGGUAACGGUACAAAGGUGCUGCCCCACCCACUUUCCUUACGCCCAUUUGCGAAGCGUUGGCAAUGAUGUUUUGAUAUGUUCUCCGUUUUGGCCAAGCCGAAACAAACCAUACCAAAUGGUCUUAACUCACCCAUUCUGACGAGUGCUUGUGCCUGGAAAGGAAAAAUCGGAAACUCCAUGGCAUGGCAUUUUCCUCCCCAUUACAUUAUCGUUUACAUGCCACCACCCCGAUCAUGAGAUAUAUGUUUAUGUGUGCCCCGUACCAUAAACGGCUAUCCCCUCUUCUACGGUUUGCCCUCUGGCCCAUUAAACAACCGUCGAACGGCUUUAUUAAUUCGCUGUAAUUUGUUUAUGUUUUCUAAGCAAUUUGUUUUCCACAUGCGGCUGCCACAGUAGCACCCAAGGGGGAACAAGGGGUUAAGGUUAACUAUGGGACACACACACAAACGAUCGUUGCAACUUAUAACCUAGCAUUUUCGCAUCAGCACCUAGGGUAAUAUUAGUACGUAUAUCAGAAUAGAUGAUCCAACAAAAAUUAGAAAUCUUUACUUCUCAAUAAAACUAACAUAAAUUAGUGAAAGCGAGUUAGCUUAGUUGCUCGAUAUAAUUUAUUCCUGACAAUAAACCACUUUAUUUAAUUGAUUGAUUUAAUUUCCAUUUCGUUUAUUUGUGUUACACACUUUGAUCGUUAAAUGUGCCUUUUGGCCAAACAGCGAAAUGCGUAAUUCAAAGUGUCAGCAAACAUGGUCAUAAACGUAGGUCCUCUGGCAUGUUUUUAAUAAAGUUAUAAAUCUGAAAUCAGAA
Molecule: long non-coding RNA, 3031 nt
Organism: Drosophila yakuba
Lineage: Eukaryota; Metazoa; Arthropoda; Insecta; Diptera; Drosophilidae
Exons: 2
Source: RefSeq, a predicted model, not a curated record